Molecule: long non-coding RNA, 1387 nt
Filed under: Equus asinus (donkey)
Lineage: Eukaryota; Metazoa; Chordata; Mammalia; Perissodactyla; Equidae
Description: lncRNA (ENSEASG00005032294.1)
Source: RNAcentral
UAAGUCCUAAAGAAUGGCUCUCUUUGGCACCUGGUGUCAAGGCAUUAUUUAGAUGUUGUAGCCAAGUGCUUCACAAGCUUUAAAGUGCACAUGAAUCUUGUUAACAUGCAGAUCUGGUUCAGUGGGUCUGGGGUGGGACCUCAGAGUCUGCAUUCCUAACAAGAUCCUGGGAGAUACCAAUGCUGCUCGUGCGCAAACCACGCUCACAGGGAAAGCAAGCGGCCAGCAAACAGCUCACUUGUGCUGUUUUGUCAAGAAUGGACCUCAGAGGUUGUGUUUGAGAAGCUUGGCACACUGUUUCAGCACAUACUCUUAUUAUCUCCCCACAAGUUUGGAAAUAGAUUUUGUGAUUGCACCUGACAAACACGGAGAUGAGGAUGCAGAAGAGAAAGUUGAGCACCUGUCAAGAGAGAACAGCCUCCAGUACCCAGGGAGAAGGGAUGCCACUGAGGUCGAACAGAAUUUUAGCAACACAGCUCUGACCAGAAUGCUAGUCUCCUGGCUCCCGAUUCAGUGCCAUUUCUUCCUCACUGUGCUGUCAUGGUUGGCAAACAGGGAAGCUUUAGGAGACACCCCUGUGACAGAAGGACAAGCUCCGCACUGUGGCAGAGCUCCACUCCACCUCGGCCACCCCAGCCCCGCCCCCCAACCUUGACUCACAGCGCGAAGCUCUUUGCAUCCUUGGACAGUUUCUACUUGCAUCCGCAUCGAUUAAACCUUGAUCUCAUUUAUUAUCUCAGGAAAUGGUCUCAAGGUCACAGGGCUGGAAAUUUAAUUAUGGUAGCAGUAUAUUAAGUGGCACAUUUAAAGAUGCUGAAUUGUAGUAAUUAAUUUUUUGGAUGGUGGUCUCGAAGGAAAGGGUUUUCUCCACACUGGGUGUUCAGCAUCCAUCACGGCCAUUGAGCUUGGCAGCUGUCUUUUAGCUUUAAACUGCCUCGUUAUUCAUCUUUUAUGACUAGCCUUUAAAAACAGUAGGAGCCGAGAUCCCCUUUUAUUGUAAUAUAUGUGUGCAGUGGGAACGGAGCCAUACUUCACCUUUGCUAUAAAACAUGAACCGAGGAUGCCAGCAGCUACCUGAGCUGGCCUCUAAAUUGAGACAACAAUUACCCUUCGCUGACAUCUAGUGUCAAGGCAUGAGAUAUAGCCAGCGCGCUGAAUCCAUUGGCCUGGAAAACUUACACUUCCCCGGUGAUAAAGCCUGUCUCACCCACAAGGAUCUAGCCCAGCUGUAAGAUGGGAAGCAGAGGGAUGAACUUGGCACUGGCUGUUGACUUUGCCGGGGCGCCAGGUUAUCGAAUGGGGCACCCGUCUGCCAAAGCCUUAAAGAGCUUGUAAUGUUUAAUGAGGGGACAGUCAUUAAAUGUGUUUGGUUCAAAUAUUAGGCUCG